RNAcentral lists this ribosomal RNA (383 nucleotides) under uncultured eukaryote. Its description in RNAcentral is "partial 18S ribosomal RNA". It matches the Rfam family "Eukaryotic small subunit ribosomal RNA", at positions 592 to 976 of the family's 1831-position model. The record is from RNAcentral.
CAAUAGCGUAUAUUAAAGUUGUUGCAGUUAAAAAGCUCGUAGUUGGAUUUCUGGUGGGAGCGAUCGGUCUGGCGCUUAGCGCGAGUGCUUGCAUCGUCUCCGGCCAUCCUUGGGGAGAGUCUGUCUGGCAUUAGGUUGUCGGGCAGAGGAUCCUCAUCGUUUACUGUGAAAAAAUUAGAGUGUUCAAAGCAGGCUUAUGCCGUUGAAUAUGUUAGCAUGGAAUAAUAAGAUAGGACUUUGGUACUAUUUUGUUGGUUUGCGCACCAAAGUAAUGAUUAAUAGGGACAGUUGGGGGUAUUCGUAUUCCGUUGUCAGAGGUGAAAUUCUUGGAUUUACGGAAGACGAACUACUGCGAAAGCAUUUACCAAGGAUGUUUUCAUUAA